CGGAGGAUAAGGUGGAGAAGAUAAGCAUGAGAAGUAGGGAUAUGGUGAGAGUUGAGCUGUGAGCUGCCAUGAUAGGUUGAUGUUUUUUUUUUGUUUCCCUGUAUUGUUGGGGAAGAAGGGGAUU
Solanum tuberosum (potato) is the source of this 124-nucleotide long non-coding RNA. RefSeq lists it as uncharacterized. NCBI's taxonomy places the organism in Eukaryota, Viridiplantae, Streptophyta, Magnoliopsida, Solanales, Solanaceae. The transcript is spliced from 2 exons. The record is from RefSeq and is a predicted model, not a curated record.